This 168-nucleotide small nuclear RNA is filed under the name Oryza glumipatula. RNAcentral describes it as "snRNA U2". It matches the Rfam family "U2 spliceosomal RNA", at positions 26 to 192 of the family's 192-position model. From Rfam's summary of the family: U2 is a small nuclear RNA (snRNA) component of the spliceosome (involved in pre-mRNA splicing). Lineage: Eukaryota; Viridiplantae; Streptophyta; Magnoliopsida; Poales; Poaceae. The record is from Rfam by way of RNAcentral.
AAAAAUACUAAUAUUUAUAUUAGUUAAGAUUAAGAUAUGUGGGCCAUGUGCCCACUUCGAUAUUAAAUUUAUUUUUUGUGGGGGAGGGCUCACCCACAGUGGCUUGCCACUGGGGCCCUCGCGUGUUGCCCAGGCGUUGCACUGCUGCCCGGGCCUGGCGCACCCCAA